This 776-nucleotide ribosomal RNA is filed under the name uncultured Neocallimastigales. Its description in RNAcentral is "partial large subunit ribosomal RNA". It matches the Rfam family "Eukaryotic large subunit ribosomal RNA", at positions 23 to 649 of the family's 3401-position model. Lineage: Eukaryota; Fungi; Neocallimastigomycota; Neocallimastigomycetes; Neocallimastigales. The record is from RNAcentral.
AGAGAUGUGUGAUGACGCAUAUCAAUAAGCGGAGGAAAAGAAACUAACAAGGAUUCCCCUAGUAACGGCGAGUGAAGCGGGAAGAGCUCAAAUUUGAAAUCUUCAAGGUUCUACCUUGACGAAUUGUAGUUUAUAGAAGUGUUUUCUGUUAGUAGGAGUGGCAAAAGUUCUUUGGAAUAGGACAUCAUAGAGGGUGAGAAUCCCGUAUUUGGUCCAUUCCUUCUAGCGUUGUGAUACACUUUCAAAGAGUCGGAUUGUUUGGAAUGCAGUCCAGAAUGGGUGGUAAAUUUCAUCUAAAGCUAAAUAUUGGCGAGAGACCGAUAGCGAACAAGUACCGUGAGGGAAAGAUGAAAAGAACUUUGAAAAGAGAGUUAAACAGUACGUGAAAUUGUCAAAAGGGAAGCGUUUGACACCAGUGUUGUUUUUCCGAAAAUCAAUUACGAAUGUUUUGUUUUGAGGAGUUAUGACUUCAUCGGCUUGCUCCUUUCUUUAUGAAACUUUCUUAAUGCACUUUUCGGUUAACAAGUCAACAUCAAUUUCUUUUGUUGUAAAAGGGUUAUGAGGAAGGUGGCUUUACUUUCGGAGUAAAGUGUUUAUAGCCUUGUAGCUCUGCAAUCGGAGAGAUUGAGGUCUGCAGCGUAGAUCCUUCGGGGUUAGAUACGUUUGUGCUAAGUUAUAGCUUUUCAUAGACAACUUGUUGACUAUGUUUAGUCUUGUAGCUUACUCGCUGACGCUAUUUUACCUACGCUUAGGAUGUUGAGUAGCGACAUACGCAC